GACGAACCACACAAACGUUAUUCGGAAUUACUGGGCUUAAAGGGUGCGUAGGCGGCGCAGAAAGUUGGGUGUGAAAUACCUCGGCUCAACCGAGGAACUGCGCCCAAAACUGCUGUGCUCGAGGAAGAUAGGGGUGAGCGGAACUUACGGUGGAGCGGUGAAAUGCGUUGAUAUCGUAAGGAACACCUGUGGCGAAGGCGGGAUCCUGGGCCAGUACUGACGCUGAGGAGCGAAAGCCAGGGGAGCAAACGGG
RNAcentral lists this ribosomal RNA (253 nucleotides) under uncultured bacterium. Its description in RNAcentral is "partial 16S ribosomal RNA". It matches the Rfam family "Bacterial small subunit ribosomal RNA", at positions 524 to 776 of the family's 1533-position model. The record is from RNAcentral.